CACGAGAUCAUAGUUGAGGGUUUCCACAAUACAAGGAUCAAGAUGAAAUACUACAAAAAUACGAACAUGUAUCAAAGCACUAUCUCCAAGCUAAACUGCCAUACAUCAUGUACUACAUCAAAUAAACACAAUCCUCAAAACAAAAGUACAAGAAAUAGGCCCUAGCCCUCGCCAGUACAAGGUGUAGUACAUAGUGGCCUUCUAAUUGGUGAUCCUCAAAUGUAUAGGCCUGCUGGUGGGACAUGCUAUCUAUUGAGCGAUUCUCCUCACCUCGAACAGCCGUCAGCAUGUGAAGCUCUGAAAAGUAAACAACAAAAGGGUAUGAGAACUACUGAACAGUAGUUCCUAGUGGGUAUGGUCGACGAUAACCACGACCUUUCUACUAGGUCUAUUGGAUGCCAGAUUAGUGAAAGAACAGUAACAUAUGCGAUAAAGAGUAGCUGAAUGUAACUGACUAUCAUGUAUAUAGGUAAAUGAGUGACUGUAAGUAACAGUAAAGAUAACUGGCUCUAAUCUGAACAAAUAAAUGUAAAGCCUAGUAAAAGACUAACUAGCUAUGACAGGUAUGGAGAAACAUAAAGUAACAGUAAAGGGAUAACUGCAUGUAAUAUAAACAGAUCUCUAUACCUAUUGUACUAUCAUGUUCUUGUACAUGUAGUUAGAGGAAAGGAAAGAAACUAAAUAGUGUAUGCAUCAAUAUAACUACUACUAAACAAAUGCCAUAAUAGUACCCAAUCACAACGACCGACUCAUACGUCGGUCAAGCCUGCGCCCGCCUAGCUAGUGCCGGAAUCACACUCCCGCAGGUGUACCGUCGACACCUAGGCUUUGCCCCAAGCCCGAACACCACUUCCGCAGGUGAGUCGUCUUUCCAAGGGCAUACAUAUCUCUGCUAUAACUGGUUAGCGUCCGGAGCGGCACUCGAAGGAGAGCAACCCCUACCGAGUCUAAUAGCAAAUAUUUCUGUCAAACUCACUGUGGCUCUACAGACAAUGAUCUAUAGCAUGGCUAACAAUAUCACGAUACCUAAUACACUGUCCUUAGCGUGUUCAUGGAGUACACAGGAAGUUGAGUGUCACAAGAGAAUUUGAACAAUGGAGUCAACUACUCUCUCUUUAUGUCCAAAUAUUUGCACACUACCGCCGCGCUACUCGCGGCCUCAAACACAAAGUUCAUGGCAUGUACAAGAAAAAAAGAUAAGAGAUGACUCACUUAGAUAGCUCACAUAGACAACUCACAUAAAUGUCUCACAUAACUUAUGAUUUGUACAAUAUAUAGGAACCAUAGACGACUCAUCAAUAAACACAAGAAGUCAACUGGCCUCCCACGACCUAAGUUAAUUAGGAUGUCUAAUAUGAGAUAUGGUUAACAAUAUGUCAUUAUGUCACGUCUAUUAGACAAUGGGGUGGUCAAGAAUCACAAGAAAUGACCCAAUAGUCUCAACUCAAUCAUAAAUAUCCAAAAAUAUAUCCACACAUCUGACGAAUCCUCAGCCACAAAGUAUCCAAAGAGCGGUCGUCAAAGGUCUCAUGAAGCCUAGACCUCUAUCAUGUAACUCAUGGCAUGCUCAAUAUAAGGAAAAAAAGGAAAUAACUUAUGUUCAUGCUUCAAGUACGAUAUACAUUGUCAAAAUGAACAUACUCAUACUUCAUGUUCAAAUUCAUGCCUUCUAUUCAAACUCAUGUUCAUAUUUGAGUAUUAUGUCUCAUCUUCAUGCAUAGAAUGUCUAGAUAUGAUGAUCAAUACUGUAGAAUUUAUGUACGGAUGCUCAAAUACUAUAUACGAUACCAAUAGAUAUAGAAGAAAAUUUGCCGUUUUCGGCGACUCGGAACCCACCUCAAUGUGCUAUGUCAGCUACAGUAAGAAAUCCGCCACUCACGUGCUUUUCCCCAGCUCACGAUCACACGAAAACACUACAUAAGGCAAAACUUUUGGAAUUACGACGUAUAUCGAAUUUUCUAACUGCACCUAAAUCGCCUCAAUUGAACACCAAUUACCUUAAAAUUCGAGUAGCUGGACGCGCGCCGCAAACUCUUUUACACCUCUCUACACCCUGCGACGAUCAAUUGCGAAGUUAGAGGUGCGAAUUGGGCCAAUUCACACUUUGUUUCAUCCUUUCUUUUUCUUCCCCCAUUCUUUCUUUCUCUUUCUUUCUCUCUCUUUCUUGCUUUAAUUCUUUCCUUCUCUUUCCUUUUC
This 2196-nucleotide long non-coding RNA is filed under the name Ananas comosus (pineapple). RNAcentral's name for it is "long non-coding RNA (ACOM_LNC017238)". Lineage: Eukaryota; Viridiplantae; Streptophyta; Magnoliopsida; Poales; Bromeliaceae. The record is from RNAcentral.